GCAGAUGGCCGGAUGGCCGCACCUGCCGGGCGUGCGUGUCCGGCGGUGAGGAAAGUCCGGACUCCACGGAGCAACGGCGCCGGGUAACGCCCGGCCGGGGAGACCCGAGGGAAAGCGCCACAGAGAACAGACAGCCUGCCUGUGCAGGCAAUGGUGAAACGGUGGGGUAAGAGCCCACCGCGCACGCGGUAACGCGGGUGGCACGGCAAGCCCCGCCGGGAGCAAGGUCGAAUAGGAAACACGGAAGACAUCGCGUCGAGGUUGCUUCAGCCUUGUGUUUCGGGUGGGCCGCAAGAACCUGCCGGUGACGGCUGGUCCAGAUGAAUGGCCAUCGAGGGGACCAUGUCCCUGAACAGAAUCCGGCUUACAGGCCAUCUGCCACC
Molecule: RNase P RNA, 383 nt
Filed under: Paracoccaceae bacterium
Lineage: Bacteria; Pseudomonadati; Pseudomonadota; Alphaproteobacteria; Rhodobacterales; Paracoccaceae
Description: Rhodobacteraceae bacterium RNase P RNA component class A
Rfam family: Bacterial RNase P class A
About the family: Ribonuclease P (RNase P) is a ubiquitous endoribonuclease, found in archaea, bacteria and eukarya as well as chloroplasts and mitochondria. Its best characterised activity is the generation of mature 5'-ends of tRNAs by cleaving the 5'-leader elements of precursor-tRNAs.
Source: RNAcentral